Long non-coding RNA from Rosa chinensis, 708 nucleotides. RefSeq lists it as uncharacterized. The record is from RefSeq and is a predicted model, not a curated record. The transcript has 3 exons. Lineage: Eukaryota; Viridiplantae; Streptophyta; Magnoliopsida; Rosales; Rosaceae.
CCUUUGGAUUAUGCCUGUAUCUAAUUUUCACUUUAGUAUCUUAAAAAAGUUGCUAAAUCUGUGUUUAUGUAAAAUCCAGGUCAUUUGCACCCUUGGUAGCCUAGUCUUUGUAAGCAUCUUACUCAUUCAGGGGAUCUGGAUUGGAGUGGCUUAUGUACAAGAAAACCGCAACCAUAAAGGCGGCAUUUUUGAAGAUGAAGGCGGCCCGUCGAAGCGAGCUAGGAGGGACGUACGAUCGGUUCUCCCAGUUGCAAUCCCCAGCAAGUUGGUGAACAUUCAAUUAGAUGUGGGGUUUUAUGUUGAUGGGGUUCUAAUUAAUGCUGGUGUUUUUGUGGAUGUUGAAGGCAUAUCUUGAGGUCAUUUGCACUCUUGGUAGCCUAGUCUUUGUAAGCAUCUUACUCAUUCAUGGGAUCUGGAUUGGAGUGGCUUAUGUACAAGAAAACUGCAACCAUAAAGGCGGCAAUGUUGAAGAUGAAGGCCGCCGUUGACUGGCGCACAGCUCCAUAGGAGGACUGCUUGGCAUCAAGGAUAACUGAUUGAGCACUGUUGUCAAUUUAUCGUCAUGAUCAUCCCUCAAGCUCCACUUUAUAUGUUUAUUUUCAUCCCAUUUGAUUCUACUCCGAACAUAUACAUGUCUUGUUAUUUAUGUUAUUAAUUCGAACGGAUUAAGAAUUUGCAUCCACUUCAUGGUCACUUUAUAAUGCAGUU